GUUCACUAUGUCAGUCCCUGCAGAGACGAAGAGGAAGAUACAGACAUAAUGACCAGAAACCUCAGCAGGAUAUGUCUGCUGUUGCUCUGCUUCUGCUAUUUUUUACUGAGCAAGAAUGUGCACCAGGAGCCACCAUCAAUAUUAGAAGUUUCCGGCAAUCCUGCUACUAUUAACUGCAGCCAUUCAAUCAGUGGCUACUAUGUGAUUUUGUGGUACCAAAAGCUGAUUGGUGACUCCAUUUUGAAAUUAAUUGGUUAUAUCUCCAACCAAAGCCCAAAGCUGGAGGAUGAAUUCAAAGAUCAUUUCAUUUUGAGAGGAGACGGCUCAAAGGAAUCUGGCCUUCAUAUAGAAAAACUCCAACCAGAAGACAGCAGCAUGUAUUACUGUGCAGCUAGUACACAGUGACACAGUUGGUGUUUAACCUCUACAAAAACCCUCUCUGAUGAUCCUGAACAUGAACACAGACUGAGGAGGAGCACAGCUGCAUCAAAGGACAUUAAACUACAUCAGCAAAUCAUCAGACAUUAGAAAAGAAACCUCCUCUUCCUCUGUUACUUAACCUGAAGAAGGCUGAGUGAUGACUAUGACAACAUAGAAUGGCAUCCCCUCCUCCCCUUUUGCAUGUGAACAUCUUUAUGCAGUCUGACAUUAUUUUUGCAGCUUGGUAGCGAUGUGGACUUGGAUCAUGUUCAAACUCUUAAUUCCUUUUUUGGUCCUGCACUUCGGUUCUUCAGAAGAGCCAUCAAUAAACAGCGUUCAUCAGAAUCUUGCAAAUGUGAUUAAAGGACCAGGAGAAUCUGUUGAUUUAAACUGCAAACAUUCAAACACCAACUUCGAUAUGAUCCAGUGGUACAAACAACCUCCUGGGAAAACUGAUAUGACUCUACUGGGAUACACACAAUAUACUUCUAAUGUUGUUGAGGAUCAAUUUCAAAGCUUGUAUAAUGUGACUGGUAGUGGCCAGAGUCAUUCUUCUUUUGUUAUUCUGAAGCUGAGGCAGCCUGAGGACAGCGCAGUCUAUUUCUGUGCUGCCAGUGAAGCACAGUGCUGCUUGAAGCCUCCAGCUCCAACAAAAACCUUCUCUGUUAGAAAAUAAACCACCAUUUAGCUGCUGAUAACCUCAUGAGCUUCAAGAGAACCACAGCAGAGGGACUGAUCACACAGCUGUAGAAUACUAUUGUCCACUAGGA
Long non-coding RNA from Cyprinodon tularosa, 1190 nucleotides. RefSeq lists it as uncharacterized. NCBI's taxonomy places the organism in Eukaryota, Metazoa, Chordata, Actinopteri, Cyprinodontiformes, Cyprinodontidae. The transcript is spliced from 3 exons. The record is from RefSeq and is a predicted model, not a curated record.